Molecule: long non-coding RNA, 218 nt
Filed under: Nicotiana benthamiana
Lineage: Eukaryota; Viridiplantae; Streptophyta; Magnoliopsida; Solanales; Solanaceae
Description: long non-coding RNA (NBEN_LNC001575)
Source: RNAcentral
GAAUUUCUUUGCAUGUGAACUUAUGUGACUAAGUGUUGAAGAUCUCCCUCCUCGCAACAUCAUUAUUUCCCUCUCUUAAUUGACAGAUGAAAGUGUUGGUAAGAUUUUCAAUGUUGUCUCUUGAGGGUUCAUUAUUGUAGUAAUUUUCUUCUCAAGGAUCAUGGGGGUAUCCACUACUUUUUCUUUAUUCUGCUUUGCCUCUCUCUAUGAACACGAAU